Molecule: long non-coding RNA, 948 nt
Organism: Urocitellus parryii (Arctic ground squirrel)
Lineage: Eukaryota; Metazoa; Chordata; Mammalia; Rodentia; Sciuridae
Source: RefSeq, a predicted model, not a curated record
GAGCGAGGGAGCGGAGGCGACUCGGCCGCCAUGUUAGGAGUGCCGGGAGGACUCCACGGACCGGCGCGGAGGUUCAGGGAGCGCGGGAUCCGAGUGGUGGUGCGGUGGGGACGGUGAGGUGGAGAGUUUGGGCCUUCACUUAUUUCUCAUACGGAAGUGAUUUGCAAAGGUCUUAAAAGAAACCGUUAUUGGAAGAGUCUGUCUACACUAUGGAAAGAUGGGAAAUUUCAUUUCCUGCUGAGGGUGUCUCAAGGGUUAAAGAAAAUGCUGUUAUCUGUGCUUCCCCCACCCACUUCUCCCUUUUGCACUUUAUUCUGAGAACAGAAUUAACUGUGGCUUUGGGGGGUUAGUGGAGGUAUGCACUAUAUCUCUAUUAGGACGUAAUAAAAUUAGAGCAGAUAGUUUCUCCUAUUAAAAAAAAAAAGGCUAGUCAGAGUGAUUUAAAAUGACCAAAACAGGCAGAAACAGUCUUUCACGUGUAUGCAGAUGAUAACUGUAAAAACAGAAUUUGAAAGACUCAACAUAUGUCAUGUUCCUGGGAACAAGCCACAAGAUAAGUCACUUUGUUUCAUUCUUACACAAAGGUAAAUUGUUGGUGUCAUUUAUCCAUGAAUACAACCAUGUACAAGGCUCAUACAAAUAGUAUGUUAUUCAGAAACACUUUUGCAAAUACUGAUGGUAAGUAGUUGGAAAGAAGCAAAUGCUUACUUUUUUUUUUCUGACCUCUAGAAAUGUUUUAAGCUAAUAAAUCUUGUGCAUUUUAUAAGACAGUUAUGUAAGCAACAGCCUUAGUUUGAGUUACUGUGAAAGGCCAGUAUAUAGUGGGGAAAGGAACAGAAUGCUCAAAAAUCUUAUGUGUGAAAAAUAAGAGUGAUAUCUUUUUAAGUUUAAAGUUGUUCAUCUGAACAUCUGGCCAUACAUGAAACGAAUGUAUUUAGUAUCCUUAAA